AUUGAACGCUGGCGGCAGGCCUAACACAUGCAAGUCGAACGAGUGGCGGACGGGUGAGUAAUGUCUGGGAAACUGCCUGAUGGCGGGGGAUAACUACUGGAAACGGUAGCUAAUACCGCAUACCAUCGGAUGUGCCCAGAUGGGAUUAGCUAGUGGGUGGGGUAAAGGCUCACCUAGGCGACGAUCCCUAGCUGGUCUGAGAGGAUGACCAGCCACACUGGAACUGAGACACGGUCCAGACUCCUACGGGAGGCAGCAGUGGGGAAUAUGGCACAAUGGGCGAAACCCUGAUGCAGCCAUGCCGCGUGUAUGAAGAAGGCCUUCGGGUUGUAAAGUACUUUCAGCGGGGAGGCGUUACCCGCAGAAGAAGCACCGGCUAACUCCGUGCCAGCAGCCGCGGUAAUAC
This 406-nucleotide ribosomal RNA is filed under the name uncultured bacterium. Its description in RNAcentral is "partial 16S ribosomal RNA". It matches the Rfam family "Bacterial small subunit ribosomal RNA", at positions 30 to 526 of the family's 1533-position model. The record is from RNAcentral.